This 266-nucleotide unclassified non-coding RNA is filed under the name uncultured fungus. Its description in RNAcentral is "sequence contains ITS1". The record is from RNAcentral. Lineage: Eukaryota; Fungi.
AAAAAUUUUGUAAAAACAGCCUCGCGCCGAAAUCGUCCACCCUGGUCCGAAAGGCCGAAAGGAGGAUGAUGUAAGCGCACGUUGGCCCACAUUUUGUGCACCGUUCCGUCUUUGGUGGUGGGGCGAGCGGCCCGAGCUUUCUCUGGCCCUCGCCUGUCAGCUCGGACCUGCAACGGGUCCGAGCCGUGGACAAGCCACCGCCCUUUUCUUCAAACCUUUGCUUUGCCUUUUUUCUGUCUGACACUUUUAUUUGUAUGAAUGUACAA